CGCGUAGGUGGUAGUGUAAGUCUGGGGUGGAAUCCCAGGGCUCAACCCUGGAACUGCCUUGGAAACUGCAUUACUUGAGUCAGUGAGGGGAGGGUAGAAUUCCUGGUGUAGCGGUGAAAUGCGUAGAUAUCAGGAGGAAGGCCUGUGGCGAAGGCGGCCCUCUGGCGCUGGACUGACACUGAGGCGCGAAAGCGUGGGGAGCAAACAGGAUUAGAUACCCUGGUAGUCCACGCCCUAAACGGUGGGCACUAGGUGUAGGGCUCGUAAGGGUUCUGUGCCGAAGGGAACCAUUAAGUGCCCCGCCUGGGGAGUACGGCCGCAAGGUUGAA
This 329-nucleotide ribosomal RNA is filed under the name uncultured bacterium. Its description in RNAcentral is "bacterial SSU rRNA". It matches the Rfam family "Bacterial small subunit ribosomal RNA", at positions 568 to 898 of the family's 1533-position model. The record is from RNAcentral.